Molecule: transfer RNA, 73 nt
Filed under: Ixodes scapularis (black-legged tick)
Lineage: Eukaryota; Metazoa; Arthropoda; Arachnida; Ixodida; Ixodidae
Rfam family: tRNA
About the family: Transfer RNA (tRNA) molecules are approximately 80 nucleotides in length. Their secondary structure includes four short double-helical elements and three loops (D, anti-codon, and T loops). Further hydrogen bonds mediate the characteristic L-shaped molecular structure. tRNAs have two regions of fundamental functional importance: the anti-codon, which is responsible for specific mRNA codon recognition, and the 3' end, to which the tRNAs corresponding amino acid is attached (by aminoacyl-tRNA synthetases). tRNAs cope with the degeneracy of the genetic code in two manners: having more than one tRNA (with a specific anti-codon) for a particular amino acid; and 'wobble' base-pairing, i.e. permitting non-standard base-pairing at the 3rd anti-codon position.
Source: Rfam by way of RNAcentral
GUAAAGUUAGCUCAGUUGGUAGAGCGCUCCACCUGUAAUGGAGAGGUCCCGGGUUCGAUACCCGGACCAGGCG